This 202-nucleotide ribosomal RNA is filed under the name uncultured Lactobacillus sp. RNAcentral describes it as "partial 16S ribosomal RNA". It matches the Rfam family "Bacterial small subunit ribosomal RNA", at positions 160 to 355 of the family's 1533-position model. The record is from RNAcentral. Lineage: Bacteria; Bacillati; Bacillota; Bacilli; Lactobacillales; Lactobacillaceae.
UAGCUAAUACCGGAUAACAACAGAUGAUGCCUAUCAACUGUUUAAAAGAUGGUUCUGCUAUCACUCUUGGAUGGACCUGCGGUGCAUUAGCUAGUUGGUAGGGUAACGGCCUACCAAGGCGAUGAUGCAUAGCCGAGUUGAGAGACUGAUCGGCCACAUUGGGACUGAGACACGGCCCAAAAUCCUACGGGAGACAGCAGCU